This 380-nucleotide unclassified non-coding RNA is filed under the name soil metagenome. RNAcentral describes it as "partial contains 5.8S ribosomal RNA, internal transcribed spacer 2, and large subunit ribosomal RNA". The stretch from base 2 to 121 matches the Rfam family "5.8S ribosomal RNA", at positions 35 to 154 of the family's 154-position model. The record is from RNAcentral.
GGAUGAAGAACGUAGCGAAAUGCGAUAAUUAAUGUGAAUUGCAGAAUUCAGUGAAUCAUCGAGUCUUUGAACGCACAUUGCGCCCCAUGGUAUUCCGUGGGGCAUGCCUGUCUGAGCGUCAGCAACACCACUCAAGCAUAGCUUUAUUGCCUUGCUUGGACUAUAUCAGAGAAGCAGUUUGUUUACUAACCGCCCUCUGAAAAUUGAUAGAUGGUCAGGUUGUCACACUAUGCCAAACGUCAUAUGAUUUACAUCGUUCGUUUGCAUUGGUUGAUAUCUUGAUAGUCAUUGAACCCACAGUGUAUGCUGUUUUUUUUCUGACUUGACCUCAGAUCAGGUAGGGAUACCCGCUGAACUUAAGCAUAUCAAUAAGCGGAGGA